This 253-nucleotide ribosomal RNA is filed under the name uncultured bacterium. RNAcentral's name for it is "partial 16S ribosomal RNA". It matches the Rfam family "Bacterial small subunit ribosomal RNA", at positions 524 to 776 of the family's 1533-position model. The record is from RNAcentral.
UACGUAGGGUGCGAGCGUUGUCCGGAAUUACUGGGCGUAAAGAGCUCGUAGGUGGUUUGUCGCGUUGUUCGUGAAAACUCACAGCUUAACUGUGGGCGUGCGGGCGAUACGGGCAGACUGGAGUACUGCAGGGGAGACUGGAAUUCUUGGUGUAGCGGUGGAAUGCGCAGAUAUCAGGAGGAACACCGGUGGCGAAGGCGGGUCUCUGGGCAGUAACUGACGCUGAGGAGCGAAAGCGUGGGGAGCGAACAGG